GAAGUGCGAAUGCUGACAUAAGUAACGAUAAAGCGGGUGAAAAGCCCGCUCGCCGGAAGACCAAGGGUUCCUGUCCAACGUUAAUCGGGGCAGGGUGAGUCGACCCCUAAGGCGAGGCCGAAAGGCGUAGUCGAUGGGAAACAGGUUAAUAUUCCUGUACUUGGUGUUACUGCGAAGGGGGGACGGAGAAGGCUAUGUUGGCCGGGCGACGGUUGUCCCGGUUUAAGCGUGUAGGCUGGUUUUCCAGGCAAAUCCGGAAAAUCAAGGCUGAGGCGUGAUGACGAGGCACUACGGUGCUGAAGCAACAAAUGCCCUGCUUCCAGGAAAAGCCUCUAAGCAUCAGGUAACAUCAAAUCGUACCCCAAACCGACACAGGUGGUCAGGUAGAGAAUACCAAGGCGCUUGAGAGAACUCGGGUGAAGGAACUAGGCAAAAUGGUGCCGUAACUUCGGGAGAA
This 457-nucleotide ribosomal RNA is filed under the name Escherichia coli. Its description in RNAcentral is "partial 23S ribosomal RNA". It matches the Rfam family "Bacterial large subunit ribosomal RNA", at positions 1285 to 1744 of the family's 2925-position model. The record is from RNAcentral. Lineage: Bacteria; Pseudomonadati; Pseudomonadota; Gammaproteobacteria; Enterobacterales; Enterobacteriaceae.